AAGAUUUGGUUCUAGUCUUUUUGAAUAGCUAUGUCAUAAUUUUACAUGUGAAGUUUUCUAUGAGAGUGUUUUAUCUUAAAGAUGAACAAGUUCUUAUUCGCAGUUUUUUAUAUUAAAUAAUUUAAUUCAAGUUAGAAUUAGUUAAUGGUUUAAAUGAUUGGCUAAUAGUGUGCCAGCAGCUGCGGUUAUACAUUUAAUCAAAGUUAUUUUUAUUUAAUUAUAAUGACUAAUAUUAUGAGUAUAUAUAUUUUAUUUUUAUGGUGAAAUAUUAAAAUAAUUUUAUUAUCUUUGGUUAGGAAUUUAUGAAAUUUUUAUAUAAACUAGGAUUAGAUACCCUAUUAUUUUAAAUGUUAAGUUAAGUUAGUAUUAAUAGUUAUGAUCUUUAAAUUAAAAGAAUUUGACGGUGGUUUAAUCUGUACAGAGGAACCUGUAUUAUAAUCGAUAAUCCACGAUAAAUUUUACCUUAAGUUUAAGUUUGUAUAUCUCUGUCUUAAGAGUGUUUUAUAAGAAUAUUCUCGGAGUUUAAUUAAUUAUAAAUUAUGUCAGGUCAAGGUGCAGCUUUUUAAGGAUUUUAUGGGUUACAUUAAUAUUUUAAUUAUGUAUGAUGAAUAUGUAAUAUUUUUCUAA
This 627-nucleotide ribosomal RNA is filed under the name Urochela quadrinotata (four-spotted shield-bug). RNAcentral describes it as "12S ribosomal RNA". Lineage: Eukaryota; Metazoa; Arthropoda; Insecta; Hemiptera; Urostylididae. The record is from RNAcentral.